This 73-nucleotide transfer RNA is filed under the name Candidatus Pacearchaeota archaeon. Its description in RNAcentral is "tRNA-Asp". It matches the Rfam family "tRNA". From Rfam's summary of the family: Transfer RNA (tRNA) molecules are approximately 80 nucleotides in length. Lineage: Archaea; Nanobdellati. The record is from RNAcentral.
GCCCGGAUAGUGUAGCGGCCUAGCACUGGACCCUGUCACGGUCCCAACCCGAGUUCGAAUCUCGGUCCGGGCG